Molecule: ribosomal RNA, 253 nt
Filed under: uncultured bacterium
Lineage: Bacteria
Description: partial 16S ribosomal RNA
Rfam family: Bacterial small subunit ribosomal RNA
Source: RNAcentral
CACGUAGGGCGCAAGCGUUGUCCGGAAUUAUUGGGCGUAAAGAGCUCGUAGGCGGUCUGUUGCGUCCGCUGUGAAAACUCGGGGCUUAACCCCGAGCCUGCAGUGGAUACGGGCAGACUAGAGGUAGGUAGGGGAGAAUGGAAUUCCCGGUGUAGCGGUGAAAUGCGCAGAUAUCGGGAGGAACACCGGUGGCGAAGGCGGCAUCCUGGACCAGCAUUGACGCUGAGGCGCGAAAGCCAGGGGAGCAAACGGG